RNAcentral lists this ribosomal RNA (223 nucleotides) under uncultured bacterium. Its description in RNAcentral is "partial 16S ribosomal RNA". It matches the Rfam family "Bacterial small subunit ribosomal RNA", at positions 111 to 334 of the family's 1533-position model. The record is from RNAcentral.
UAACGCGUGGGUAACCCGCCUCAUACAGGGGGAUAACAGUUAGAAAUGACUGCUAAUACCGCAUAAGCGCACAGUACCACAUGGUACGGUGUGAAAAACUCCGGUGGUAUGAGAUGGACCCGCGUCUGAUUAGCUAGUUGGUGAGGUAACGGCUCACCAAGGCGACGAUCAGUAGCCGACCUGAGAGGGUGAUCGGCCACAUUGGGACUGAGACACGGCCCAG